GGGGGUUCGUGGCACUCCAAUCCUCCCUGGACAUGGAUGGGCAGCGCUCUGGACGCAUGGAUGACGAUGGGCGGCGCUCUCAUCCAUUCCGGCUGCGGCACCCAGGCAGCAGGUUCAUCUCAACAUCUAAUCCUAUUUUUUUGUAAGAUAUGAAGGCAAUGAACAAUGAAAAGCUGAUAUCUUAAAUUCAUUUAUAGUGUACUUAAUUGUUUGUCCUUGAGGUGGUAAAAGAUCAGAGAAGGUGUGUAAAAGCAGCUGCAGCAAGGGUAAGAUUUUGUUCACCUACAUUUUGAGUGUUCUUGUAUCAUAAUGUACACCUGUUUCAUCUGCAGGGUAAGUGAUAAAGAGAUGGUACCUGGGAGUCGAGAUCAUAGAGAUGGGCCAUGCCAUCGUUUAAGUUGUAGGAUUAUUAUUAACAUUAUGAAUUUGAUACUUUGAUCAGAAAAAUCCUAAGCAUGUUGCCACGCAGGUAGGUGAGAAAAGCAGCAAGGCGGAGCUUUGGUUGACUGCUAAGAUUGCUUCAAGCAUCAGAGAUAUGCUCUUAAGAGACAAACAUGCAGCUUGAGAAGAUAACCCUCAGGGCAGAAAACUACGAGGGUGAAGCAGGGAGUCCAUAAACAUUACCAGGGAGGAUAGGUUUUCUCAGUACUGUCCACUGGAAGAGCAUGUCCCUCGCUAUAAGGAAUGGUCAUUGUCGACAGUUAGCAAACUAACAUGUAUGGCGCAUCAAACGGCGACUUUGGCUCUGGUUAAUAUCUUUUCUGAUAUCCUUUUUCUUUCUUUGCCUUCUGAGUGUUAGUGAGUGUUAGUAAGUAUUUGGAUUACUUUCUUUUCCUCAUUACCACCAGUGAAUAGAGAUGGUAGAGGAGAGGGAGGGGGGGAGGUGUUUGCUGGUCUAUUGUAGUUUGGAAUGCUUCUUACAUGAAUAUGUUUCUCCUCAGAGAGCAAUCUAAACAAUUUCAGGUUCAUGGAGUUAAGUUUUUCAUUCUAUUCAGACUGCCAUAAGGAUUAGCAAUCCGGUACUGCUCCUCACUAUGAGUUAAAUACCAUUGUAAUUAAUCUUGUUCUUCCCUUUAUUUUUUUUCUGGUCAUGCUGCAUUUUUGUCACAAAAUCUUGAGUCCCAUUUUAACUUUGUUCCUAUAGUUUCCAAAACCAGGCCUCUGGUGGCCUCUGACUACCAUUAUUUCAGAUCCUAUUGAUCUUUUAUGCCAAAUUCAGGUUAGCAAAUUCACAAACCUUGUGCCAAUCGACUUUUAGUUGGUUAGUGGAGAGGCUCAGCUUGUUUUGCAAAUAUGAUAGUCAUUUUAUUUACUGAAAAAAGUUAUUUUCUGACAAAGUUUCACAUUUUUAUUUCCUGAUAAAAUUUUGAUUAUGUUCUAUGGGGCUGUCAUCUCUCAGUCUGAAACCAAAAUUCACACAUCCACUGUUGGAUCCAGGAGGAACUAAAUUUAGACAAAAGGCUGGAGAUCUUGAAAAUAAGCUUCUCGAGAUGCAAAAAUG
Panicum virgatum (switchgrass) is the source of this 1501-nucleotide long non-coding RNA. RefSeq lists it as uncharacterized. Lineage: Eukaryota; Viridiplantae; Streptophyta; Magnoliopsida; Poales; Poaceae. The transcript is spliced from 3 exons. The record is from RefSeq and is a predicted model, not a curated record.